GAGUUAGGGUCUUUUCAGGCCCGACCUCCAACCCUAUGUCUACCUACCUUUGUUGCUUUGGCGGGCCCGCUGGGGUGACCCACCGGCGGCCUUUGGCUCCGAGUGCCCGUCAGAGACCCAUCCAAACCUCUUAACUGUGUCGUCUGAGUACCAACAUAAUAAUAAUUAAAACUUUCAACAACGGAUCUCUUGGUUCU
Molecule: unclassified non-coding RNA, 197 nt
Filed under: rhizosphere metagenome
Description: partial ribosomal RNA internal transcribed spacer region
Source: RNAcentral